UGUCUUGUAAUUGGAAUGAUGGGAAUUUAAACCUCUUCCAGAGUAUCAAUUGGAGGGCAAGUCUGGUGCCAGCAGCCGCGGUAAUUCCAGCUCCAAUAGCGUAUAUUAAAAUUGUUGCAGUAAAAAGCUCGUAGUUGAAUUUCUGCUGCAUUGCUUUUGCUCCUUUACGAGUCUUUGCAUUGUGGCUUAUUUCGGACUUUGUUUUACAAUGUCCGGAUGUUUACUUUGAGAAAAUUAGAGUGCUCAAAGCAGGCUUUCGCCUUGAAUAGUUUAGCAUGGAAUAAUAAAGUAGGACUUUGGUUCUAUUUUGUUGGUUUUAGGUACCAAAGUAAUGGUUAAUAGGAACAGUUGGGGGCAUUCGUAUUUAACUGUCAGAGGUGAAAUUCUUAGAUUUGUUAAAGACGAACUACUGCGAAAGCAUUUGCCAAGGAUGUUUUCAUUAAUCAAGAACGAAAGUUAGGGGAUCGAAGACGAUCAGAUACCGUCGUAGUCCUAACCAUAAACUA
Molecule: ribosomal RNA, 506 nt
Filed under: Theileria ovis
Lineage: Eukaryota; Apicomplexa; Aconoidasida; Piroplasmida; Theileriidae
Description: SSU rRNA
Rfam family: Eukaryotic small subunit ribosomal RNA
Source: RNAcentral